RNAcentral lists this ribosomal RNA (484 nucleotides) under uncultured bacterium. RNAcentral's name for it is "partial 16S ribosomal RNA". It matches the Rfam family "Bacterial small subunit ribosomal RNA", at positions 36 to 507 of the family's 1533-position model. The record is from RNAcentral.
CUUUCCCUCUGGCGGCAGGCCUAACACAUGCAAGUCGAGCGGAUGAAGGGAGCUUGCUCCUGGAUUCAGCGGCGGACGGGUGAGUAAUGCCUAGGAAUCUGCCUGGUAGUGGGUGAUAACGUCCGGAAACGGGCGCUAAUACCGCAUACGUCCUGAGGGAGAAAGUGGGGGAUCUUCGGACCUCACGCUAUCAGAUGAGCCUAGGUCGGAUUAGCUAGUUGGUGGGGUAAAGGCCUACCAAGGCGACGAUCCGUAACUGGUCUGUGAGGAUGAUCAGUCACACUGGAACUGAGACACGGUCCAGACUCCUACGGGAGGCAGCAGUGGGGAAUAUUGGACAAUGGGCGAAAGCCUGAUCCAGCCAUGCCGCGUGUGUGAAGAAGGUCUUCGGAUUGUAAAGCACUUUAAGUUGGGAGGAAGGGCAGUAAGUUAAUACCUUGCUGUUUUGACGUUACCAACAGAAUAAGCACCGGCUAACUUCGUG